Molecule: transfer RNA, 74 nt
Filed under: Chloroflexota bacterium
Lineage: Bacteria; Bacillati; Chloroflexota
Description: Chloroflexi bacterium tRNA-Pro
Rfam family: tRNA
About the family: Transfer RNA (tRNA) molecules are approximately 80 nucleotides in length.
Source: RNAcentral
CGGGGCGUGGCGCAGCCAGGUAGCGCGCAUCGUUCGGGACGAUGAGGUCGGAGGUUCAAAUCCUCUCGCCCCGA